Molecule: long non-coding RNA, 727 nt
Organism: Papaver somniferum (opium poppy)
Lineage: Eukaryota; Viridiplantae; Streptophyta; Magnoliopsida; Ranunculales; Papaveraceae
Exons: 5
Source: RefSeq, a predicted model, not a curated record
UUUUUCUCCUCCACAAACCACAGACUCAGUCUCUCCUCUCCUCACCUCUCCUCUCCAUCUCCGUCUCCAUCUCGAUCUGCUUAGCUGAGUUCCUUAUUCUCUUCUCAGUCUCUGAAAUCUAUCUUCGUGUAAAACUCUGUCAUCAGAUAUUCCGAUUGGAGAAGAUGAAAUGCUUAGUUUCAACCAGUCAUCGUGGAGAUUCCUCUAAGGACUUUGUAGUCAACGGGGAUAAUGAAAAUGCCCAUCGACCAUUGACGUGGGUACCUGCAUGUGCUGUGGUGACAUGGCUGAGUUCCGCAGAAGCAGCACACUACAGUGGAGAGAUGAGAUUCAACUCAGUGUACGAGGUUGGAGAGCUAUUUGAAUUGGGAAUUCAGUUAUCGUACUUGCUGCUACUAUUAGGUUUAGUUGGGGCUGGUACGUUCUUUGUGAUUCGUCAAGUCAUUGUUCGUAGAGAACUUGACCUUUCCGCCAAAUAAUUGCAGGAGCAAAUACGAAGUGGUGAUGCUAGUGCUACUGAGCUCUUUGAACUUGGUGCAGUGAUGUUGAGAAGGAAGUUCUACCCAGCUGCAAUAAAAUAUUUGCAACAAGCAAUCUCAAAAUGGGAUGGAGACGAUCAGGAUCUUGCACAGGUUCACAAUGCCCUUGGUGUUAGCUACAUCCGAGAUGAAAAGCUCGAGAAAGGAAUUAAUCAAUUCGAGACUGCUGUAAGGAAUUAAAGCCAUAG